Molecule: long non-coding RNA, 2290 nt
Filed under: Heterocephalus glaber (naked mole-rat)
Lineage: Eukaryota; Metazoa; Chordata; Mammalia; Rodentia; Bathyergidae
Description: lncRNA (ENSHGLG00000035017.1)
Source: RNAcentral
GCUCAGUCCCUACGGCCGUCCACCCCUCCACACACUUUCCAUGCCAAACACCAGCCCUAGCUUAUUUUAUCUCUGCUUCACCCAGACCAGCUCUAAAACAAUGUCCCUCUGCCUCCUCUUCCCUUGCCCGAGCCGCGCAUGGAGCUUAAAAUGCUCCGUACACGUACAUACCCGUGCUGCUGGCUCUGAAGGACAUGGGUGGAGACCGAGGCGGGAAGAGGGAGGCACAGGGCGGGGAGAAGCCGCCUGUAGCUUCUCCCAGGCCUCGUUCAGGGCCACCCCCCCCAGGGACCUCUGCUAUCUGCUACAUGGAAGCUCGCUCAACUUGCACGUUUGUUUGCGUGGGGCUGCAUACCACAGAUGUGAGUGAAGAGGGGACGAUUAUGUAGCAGUGUGACUGCAGGGCAGGCACUAGACUAAUACUAGUGGACUGGGAGAAGUCACUCUCCAGCGUUUCUUCUUUGCGGAUACGGUGAAGACCCUGUCUGAAAUAAGGUCUUAUCAUCUACCAACAGACAUGGUAAGUCAAGGUGAGGAAAUGGAGACCCAGAUUAUCUUCAAAGUGGUAAAACUAACGGAAGCUAAAACCAGAAUUUGAACUUAACGAUUUAGCUCCGGAUUCCACACCUUGAGAUGUGGUGACCUGGCUUUCUCAGGGAUGAUGGUGUGUAAAGGAGACUUCUGAGAGCACAUAUCUUGAAAUACACCAUCAGCCUUUCCCCAAGGUGACCUCAAGCCUCAUGCCUGAAUGCCUGCCCAAAGAGGAGGGGCCAUGCCAUUCCUUUUCAGUGCCUCAAGAUAGAACUGGACAUUGUUAGCAGGACAUGUGUACGUGAGCCAGCCUCCUGGUCAGAGAGCAGGUUACCUGGGCCAGGCGAUAAAAACAUUCUAAGGCCCAAAUUCAGAAGCCCACUCGGGUCCUCUUUCCUGGAUCUCCAAGUGCCAGCAUGGAGUGGGUACAUUUUCAGCUGGCAAAACCCUCAUACUGGCUCCUUGAUUUGUGAAGUAACAGCCAUUAAGGGAGAUAAGAAAAAAAAAUCAAAAACCCAAACCAAGUGAAUACCCCUGAAAUUUGUGAUUCCCGAAACUGGGGAUUCAUGCUUUCUUCAAAGAUUUAAGUAUAUGUGUGUGGCGGUUAGCAUGAUAUUCGGGCUUAAUUAAUUUGAAUGUGAGAAAAGCAACAGUCAGCAGGGUCCACAGUCAUAGUCCAGGUAGUAUUAACCUACUAGCUUUCAGUCUCUGCCACAGUGUAGUGCACAGCUCGCUUGACCACCUUCAUAUCAGGCAGAACGUCCCCUCUCUGUGACAUCCUGGGGGCUGGAGCAGAGGCACGUAAAGGACAGCCUUGGGAGACGCCAUGACGCUAAGACACACAAUCGUGAAUACAUGUUUGGUCUUUCUCUCACUCAGGCACAUAGCUCCUAAAGCUCCUGGAAUUUUCCCAGAGUUUUGGGUAUCAAAGAGAAGGAUAGCAUUGUUGUUAUGCAUAAUGAACCCCUUACAAUCCCAUCUGAGUGUACCUCAGCGAGAUGAUUUUGGAAACCCAAGUAACCAAAGAACGGGUCUGGUUGCCAAAGAAACCAAAAGCGUGCCUAGCAGGGCGCAGGACAGGACAGAGCCUUCGUCAUCAGUUCAAUGCCGUGCCCGUCAGGGCUACACAGUGAACCCUCCACAGAGCCCAAAAGGUUGGAGCUGGUGAACAAGGCAGGUAGGCACCCAAACUGGGGGCACACAGAGCCCCUGUGCUCUGGACCCUUCUGGACCUUGUCCUGCGCAUCUCUAUCUGGCAGUUCAGGGUUAAUUUCCGGUUUCCUUUGUGAUAAGCCAAGAAUGUAGAAAGUGUGCUGUGGACCAGGACCGCCCAGCACACAAUGGGGUCCUCUGAUGGGGGAUGCCGCGCCUUCACCCUGUGGAGCCUGCUGACCUCAUCUCCAGGGAGACAGGGCCAGACAAGGUGAGCCAUGGGACACUGUCACUGUCUGCAGAAGAUAGGAGACUAUGUGAUGUUACAUAGCACGCUUUUCCCCAUAUGAGAGAUCUAAAAAAUAACGAAUUAAUAAACAAAUAAAAGAAAAAGGAUAACAGGAAACUAGAGAAGGUAGACCAAUAUACUGAAGCACACUUCAGUAUUCUGAUGAAUAAUAUGUAUUACUAAUAAAAAAUAAGCUUAAAUAUCUCAUGAUUUCCCUAUAGGAGAAACCCAAAUUAUAAAUAAAGGACAAAAUAAAAGAUAGCUAUUAGGAAGUAGGGAGACAGAUCUUUCUCAAAGGGGAAGAGGACCAGAACAUGG